ACGCUCCUUCCAUAUAGCAAUCUUUCUCUCUUAUCUCUCAUGGUUGAGAGGACUAGAAUAGCACCAUUCACCACCUUAAUUCAUUAAACAACCACAAAACAACCCUCUUAUAUCAACCUUACUAACUUACAAACACAACGUUUUAAGAGCUCUAGAUAGUUGUCUGGUUUCCAAGUGUGCGAGGGUUGUUCUUAUAAAGGAUGUUUUCUCAUGGUGAUGAUACAUUUGGUUACAUGAAGAUCAAAGGGUGGUCUUGUUGUGGUUCUUCGCUACGUUUUGUGGGGCUGUCUUGCUACUGGUCUUCAAACAAUAGAAGGGAUAACUUCUAGUUCGUUUCGAGUCCCUUUUCAAAUCUUCGCGGGUAUGUUUUGAGUUUGUUUUCUUGGAUAAUUAAGCUACGGUGUUACAAAACUCUCAUAGCUCAAGAAUAUUAAGAGAUACAUGGUUGGUUUGGCUUUUUUGAAAUUCCUCACAUUCACGACUUGGAGCCUUAAAGACACAAGAGUUUUAGGUCCUUAAAUACUAGGAUCUUGGUUGCUUUCUUAUGGGUCACUAUAUAUAUAAUGCAACUAAAGCUUAAGGGUUAAAAAUAUGGAGUUAAUCUUAUUGGGACACCGUUAGUUUGGACUACCUUUUCUUACUCGACCCUCUCUCGUAUCAAUUACUAAGGGAACAAAUUACUCGGAGCAUAAGUAGAAGAACCAUGCUUUUUGGGAGUCACAUAUACAUUCACUAAAGAACAAAGAUUUUCAAGAGCUUUUCUACUAAGUUAUUCAUGUUGUAGAAUCUCUAGUAUAAGUUUAUAAUUACAUUUAAUGUAAGAUCUUGGUUUUUAUAUAAAUAAUAUUUCAAAACGUCUCGUUUAGAGAUCGUUUGUUAUAA
Molecule: long non-coding RNA, 882 nt
Organism: Erigeron canadensis
Lineage: Eukaryota; Viridiplantae; Streptophyta; Magnoliopsida; Asterales; Asteraceae
Exons: 2
Source: RefSeq, a predicted model, not a curated record